AAACUUCUUCCCCUUCUCACACAUACUACCCUGUAAAUAACAGUGACACUGCAGUGUCCUUUGAAGCUUUUUUGGUGAGAGAUUGAACUUCAGAUGAUGUCGAAAAUGGUUUGUCUCAACCUCAAAACAGAGCAGCAUUUAGAAUUAGUGCUCUGUAGGUAAGGAGAUUGAACUUUUAUGUGUGUAUAUAAUUAUAUUUUAUUCAGCUCAGUAUUUGGAAUCCUUCUAGUUCAUUCAAAGUGUUUCAUAUUGUAGAUAAGUUCCCUUCCUUGAUGCCCAAAUCAAGCACCGGACCCGGUAUACAAGAAAACUCUAGCAGGUUAGUUCUAUGCAUACAGACUAGAAAAGAAAAUGAUUUCCAACUGUUUGCAAGUUCUGUUCUUUUACUCUAUUGUUGAUGACAUUGAUUUCUAUGAGUAAUACAAUCUAAAUUCCGUUUACUACAUGUGCAGCUUGCUGGAUGUUUUUGCUAAUCUAAGUUCCGGAAGAACUACUACCAAUUUUGUAUCAUUCGGGCUAUCAAGUUCUGGAAAUAUGACUUCUGGACUCAGUUCAUCAACCAGUAAUCCAUCUGCGAAUAAUUCACAAGGUUCUCUAUUCGGUGGUGCCAGUAAAUCUUUUGUGCCUGCUGUUGGAGCAGACACAGACUGCAUUCUCUCCACCUUCACCUAGAAAGCAACACGUGCGAGACACAGAAUUGGGAAGCUCCUACUGUCUGGGUUAUGUUUAUAGUGUAUGAAAAUGUGCUAAAUAUGUUUAAACUGCAUCGAUUAUGAUUAGAGUUUCAUUGUUUUGAACUCAUGUGAUCUUUAUUAACAUGCAUUUCGGUGUAGGUGAUUACAUUUGUAUUCUAC
This 854-nucleotide long non-coding RNA is filed under the name Salvia miltiorrhiza (redroot sage). RNAcentral describes it as "long non-coding RNA (SMIL_LNC010318)". Lineage: Eukaryota; Viridiplantae; Streptophyta; Magnoliopsida; Lamiales; Lamiaceae. The record is from RNAcentral.